AGAUUGAACGCUAGCGGGAUGCUUUACACAUGCAAGUCGAACGGCAGCGCGGACUUCGGUCUGGCGGCGAGUGGCGAACGGGUGAGUAAUAUAUCGGAACGUGCCCAGUAGCGGGGGAUAACUACGCGAAAGCGUGGCUAAUACCGCAUACGCCCUACGGGGGAAAGGGGGGAUCGCAAGACCUCUCACUAUUGGAGCGGCCGAUAUCAGAUUAGCUAGUUGGUGAGGUAAAGCUCACCAAGGCGACGAUCUGUAGCGUGGCUUGAGAGGACGACCAGCCACUACUGGGACUGAACGACACGGGCCCCAGACCUCCGUAACGGGAGGCACGCGAGUGGGUAAUUUUGGACAAGUGGGGAAAGCCGUGACGC
Molecule: ribosomal RNA, 371 nt
Filed under: uncultured soil bacterium
Lineage: Bacteria
Description: bacterial SSU rRNA
Rfam family: Bacterial small subunit ribosomal RNA
Source: RNAcentral